RNAcentral lists this ribosomal RNA (468 nucleotides) under uncultured bacterium. Its description in RNAcentral is "partial 16S ribosomal RNA". It matches the Rfam family "Bacterial small subunit ribosomal RNA", at positions 28 to 507 of the family's 1533-position model. The record is from RNAcentral.
GACGAACGCUGGCGGCGUGCUUAACACAUGCAAGUCGAACGGAAAGGCCCUGCUUUUGUGGGGUGCUCGAGUGGCGAACGGGUGAGUAACACGUGAGUAACCUGCCCUUGACUUUGGGAUAACUUCAGGAAACUGGGGCUAAUACCGGAUAGGAGCUCCUGCUGCAUGGUGGGGGUUGGAAAGUUUCGGCGGUUGGGGAUGGACUCGCGGCUUAUCAGCUUGUUUGUGGGGUAGUGGCUUACCAAGGCUUUGACGGGUAGCCGGCCUGAGAGGGUGACCGGCCACAUUGGGACUGAGAUACGGCCCAGACUCCUACGGGAGGCAGCAGUGGGGAAUAUUGCAGAAUGGGCGGAAGCCUGAUGCAGCAACGCCGCGUGCGGGAUGACGGCCUUCGGGUUGUAAACCGCUUUCGCCUGUGACGAAGCGUGAGUGACGGUAAUGGGUAAAGAAGCACCGGCUAACUACGUG